Molecule: ribosomal RNA, 1484 nt
Filed under: metagenome
Description: bacterial SSU rRNA
Rfam family: Bacterial small subunit ribosomal RNA
Source: RNAcentral
GUUUGAUCAUGGCUCAGAUUGAACGCUGGCGGCAGGCCCUAACACAUNCAAGUCGAACGGUAACAGGAAGAAGCUUGCUUUGCUAGCGAGUGGCGGACGGGUGAGUAAUGUCUGGGAAACUGCCUGAUGGAGGGAUAACUACUGAAACGGUAGCUAAUACCGCAUAACGUCGCAAGACCAAGAGGGGACCUUCGGGCCUCUUGCCAUCGGAUGUGCCCAGAUGGGAUUAGCCUGGUAGGUGGGGUAACGGCUCACCUAGGCGACGAUCCCCUAGCUGGUCUGAGAGGAUGACCAGCCACACUGGAACUGAGACACGGUCCAGCCCUACGGAGGCAGCANNGGGAAUAUUGCACAAUGGGCGCAAGCCUGAUGCAGCCAUGCCGCGUGUAUGAAGAAGGCCUUCGGGUUGUAAAGUACUUUCAGCGGGGAGGAAGGGAGUAAAGUUAAUACCUUUGUUCAUUGACGUUACCCGCAGAAGAAGCACCGGCUAACUCCGUGCCAGCAGCCGCGGUAAUACGGAGGGUGCAAGCGUUAAUCGAAUUACUGGGCGUAAAGCGCACGCAGGCGGUUUGUUAAGUCAGAUGUGAAAUCCCCGGCAACCUGGAACUGCAUCUGAUACUGGCAAGCUUGAGUCUCNGUAGAGGGGUAGAAUUCAGGUGUAGCGGUGAAAUGCGCGAGAUCUGGAGGAAUACCGGUGGCGAGGGCAGCCCCUGGACGAAGACUGACGCUCAGGUGCAGCGUGGGGAGCAAACAGGAUUAGAUACCUGGUAGUCCACGCCGUAAACGAUGUCGACUUGGAGGUUGUGCCCUUGAGGCGUGGCUUCCGGAGCUAACGCGUUAAGUCGACCGCCUGAGUACGGCCGCAAGGUUAAAACUCAAAUGAAUUGACGGGGGCCCGCACAAGCGGUGGAGCAUGGUUUAAUUCGAUGCUACGCGAAGAACUUACCUGGUCUUGACAUCCACGGAAGUUUUCAGAGAUGAGAAUGUGCCUUCGGGAACCGUGAGACAGGUGCUGCAUGGCUGUCGUCAGCUCGUGUUGUGAAAUGUUGGGUUAAGUCCCGCAACGAGCGCAACCCUUAUCCUUUGUUGCCAGCGGUCCGGCCGGGAACUCAAAGGAGACCGCCAGUGAUAAACUGGAGGAAGGUGGGAUGACGGCAAGUCAUCAUGGCCCUUACGACCAGGGCACACGUGCUACAAUGGCACAUACAAAGAGAAGCGACCUCGCGAGAGCAAGCGGACCUCAUAAAGUGCGUCGUAGUCCGGAUUGGUNCGCAACUCGACUCCAUGAAGUCGGAAUCGCUAGUAAUCGUGGAUCAGAAUGCCACGGUGAAUACGUUCCCGGGCCUUGUACACACCGCCCGUCACACCAUGGAGUGGGUUGCAAAAGAAGUAGGUAGCUUAACCUUCGGGAGGGCGCUUACCACUUUGUGAUUCAUGACUGGGGUGAAGUCGUAACAAGGUAACCGUAGGGGAACCUGCGGUUG